CCUACGGGUUGCAAACGUCUUUGAUAAAGGAAGAAAGUGAGGCACGUGGGCCGUGUGGUAGGGACUGUAUGAAGAAGGAUAGGCUAACUCCGUGCCAGCAGCCGCGGUAAUACGGAGGAUCCGAGCGUUAUCCGGAUGUAUUGGGUUUAAAGGGAGCGGAGAUGGGUUGUUAAGUCAGUUGUGAAAGUUUGCGGCUCAACCGUAAAAUUGCAAUUGAUACUGGCAGUCUUGAGUACAGUUGAGGUAGGCGGAAUUCGUGGUGUAGCGGUGAACUGCUGAGAUAUCACGAAGAACUCCGAUUGCGAAGGCAGCUUACUAAACUGCCCCUGACAUUGAUGCUCGAAAGUGUGGGUAUCAAACAGGAUUAGAUACCCUGGUAGUC
RNAcentral lists this ribosomal RNA (382 nucleotides) under uncultured bacterium. RNAcentral's name for it is "partial 16S ribosomal RNA". It matches the Rfam family "Bacterial small subunit ribosomal RNA", at positions 415 to 795 of the family's 1533-position model. The record is from RNAcentral.